UACGAAGGGUGCAACCGUUGCUCGGAAUUAUUGGGCGUAAAGCGCACGUAGGCGGCAUUGCAAGUCGGAUGUGAAAUCUUAUGGCUUAACCAUAAAAGUGCACCCGAAACUGCAGUGCUUGAGUACUUAAGAGGAUCGCGGAAUUCCCGGUGUAGAGGUGAAAUUCGUAGAUAUCGGGAGGAACACCAGUGGCGAAGGCGGCGAUCUGGGAAGAUACUGACGCUGAGGUGCGAAAGCGUGGGGAGCAAACAGG
This 253-nucleotide ribosomal RNA is filed under the name uncultured bacterium. Its description in RNAcentral is "partial 16S ribosomal RNA". It matches the Rfam family "Bacterial small subunit ribosomal RNA", at positions 524 to 776 of the family's 1533-position model. The record is from RNAcentral.